AUAUAUUUUUUAUAUUUUUCAUAAUUUAUUAUAAAUUUAUUUUACAUGUAAAUUUUAGUGUGUAAUCUUAAUUAUUUAAAAAAUAAUUAAUUUAAAUGUACAGUAAUUAAAAUUAAAAAUUUAAGAAAUUAAGAUUUAGUAAUAUUUAAAUUAAAAACUAAUUUUGUGCCAGCAGUUGCGGUUAAACAAAAUUUAAAUUAAAUUAUUUCAGUAUAUAAUAAAUAAUAAAUUAUUAAAAUUAAAUAUUAAAUUAUUAAGUGAAAUUUUAAUUUAAUUAAAAUUUAUAUUAAAAUUAUGAUUUAAUAAAUUUUAUUAUAAACUAGGAUUAGAUACCCUAUUAUUAAAAAUUUAAUUAAAAAUACUAAAAUAGUAAAUAAAAUAUUAUUGAAACUUAAAUAAUAUGGCGGUAUUUUAGUUCAUUCAGAGGAAUCUGUCUAAUAAUUGAUAAUCCACGAAUAAAUUUACUUAAUUUAUAAUUUUGUAUAUCAUUGUUAAAAAAAUAUUUUUAAAUAAAAAUAAUAUUUAAAAAUUAAGAUUAAAAUUUAAUUCAGAUCAAGAUGCAGAUUAUAAUUAAGUUUAAGAUGGAUUACAAUAAAUUUAUUUAAACGGAAAAAAUUUUGUAAUAUUUAAUUGAAGGUGGAUUUGAAUGUAAUUUUAAUUAAUUUAUUAAAAUGAUUAAAAAUUGGAAUAUGUACAUAUUGCCCGUCACUUUCAUUUAAAAAUUGAAAUAAGUCGUAACAAAGUAGAGGUACUGGAAAGUGUUUCUAGAAUGA
Molecule: non-coding RNA, 773 nt
Filed under: Athyma daraxa
Lineage: Eukaryota; Metazoa; Arthropoda; Insecta; Lepidoptera; Nymphalidae
Source: RNAcentral